AAAUGAAUUGACGGGGGCCCGCACAAGCAGUGGAGUAUGUGGUUUAAUUCGAAGCAACGCGAAGAACCUUACCAGGGUUUGACAUCCUCUGACGAUAGUAGAGAUACUAUUUUCUUUUCGGAGACAGAGAGACAGGUGGUGCAUGGUUGUCGUCAGCUCGUGUCGUGAGAUGUUGGGUUAAGUCCCGCAACGAGCGCAACCCCUGUCGCCAGUUGCCAUCAUUCAGUUGGGGACUCUGGCGAGACCGCCGUUGACAAAACGGAGGAAGGUGGGGAUGACGUCAAAUCAUCAUGCCCCUUACGUCCUGGGCUACACACGUACUACAAUGGUAGGAACAACGAGCAGCGCCGUCGCGAGGCGAAGCAAAUCUCCAAAUCCUAUCUCAGUUCGGAUUGCAGGCUGCAACUCGCCUGCAUGAAGCAGGAAUUGCUAGUAAUGGCAGGUCAUCAUACUGCCGUGAAUACGUUCCCGGGCCUUGUACACACCGCCCGU
This 492-nucleotide ribosomal RNA is filed under the name uncultured bacterium. Its description in RNAcentral is "bacterial SSU rRNA". It matches the Rfam family "Bacterial small subunit ribosomal RNA", at positions 903 to 1397 of the family's 1533-position model. The record is from RNAcentral.